ACAUUUGGUGGAGACUGUUGAAGCCACCUGGUCCCAGCAGACCCCAGAAGGCAGCCACAUUCGCUGGUGCUGGGGCAAGGUCAUUGAAGGUGAAGCCUGGUGCCAUAUGUG
Ribosomal RNA from Panthera pardus (leopard), 111 nucleotides. The record is from Ensembl. NCBI's taxonomy places the organism in Eukaryota, Metazoa, Chordata, Mammalia, Carnivora, Felidae.